CGGGAUGGACGUACCGCUGGUGCACCAGUUGUUCCGCCAGGAGCAUGGCUGGGUAGCUACGUACGGAAGGGAUAAGCGCUGAAAGCAUCUAAGCGUGAAGCCCCCCUCAAGAUGAGAUUUCCCAAUUAGUAAGACCCCUUGAAGACGACGAGGUAGAUAGGUUGGAGGUGGAAGUGCAGCAAUGCAUGGAGCUGACCAAUACUAAUCGGUCGAGGGCUUAUCCUA
RNAcentral lists this ribosomal RNA (225 nucleotides) under Paenibacillus mangrovi. RNAcentral's name for it is "partial 23S ribosomal RNA". It matches the Rfam family "Bacterial large subunit ribosomal RNA", at positions 2693 to 2925 of the family's 2925-position model. Lineage: Bacteria; Bacillati; Bacillota; Bacilli; Caryophanales; Paenibacillaceae. The record is from RNAcentral.